This 483-nucleotide ribosomal RNA is filed under the name uncultured bacterium. RNAcentral describes it as "partial 16S ribosomal RNA". It matches the Rfam family "Bacterial small subunit ribosomal RNA", at positions 28 to 507 of the family's 1533-position model. The record is from RNAcentral.
GACGAACGCUGGCGGCGUGCUUAACACAUGCAAGUCGAACGCUGAAGCUCAGCUUUUGUUGGGUGGAUGAGUGGCGAACGGGUGAGUAACACGUGAGUAACCUGCCCCCUUCUUUGGGAUAACGCCCGGAAACGGGUGCUAAUACUGGAUAUUCACUGGUCUUCGCAUGGGGGUUGGUGGAAAGGGUUUUUCUGGUGGUGGAUGGGGUCGCGGCCUAUCAGCUUGUUGGUGGGGUGAUGGCCUACCAAGGCUUUGACGGGUAGCCGGCAUGAGAGGGUGACCGGUCACAUUGGGAAUGAGAUACGGCCCAGACUACUACGGGAGGAAGCAGUGGGGAAUAUUGCACAAUGGGCGCAAGGCUGAUGCAGCGAAGCCGCGUGAGGGAUGGAGGCCUUCGGGUUGUGAACCUCUUUCGCUCAUGGUCAAGCCGCAACAAUGGUUGUGGUGAGGGUAGUGGGUAAAGAAGCGCCGGCUAACUACGUG